GAUGAACGCUGGCGGCGUGCCUAAUACAUGCAAGUCGAGCGAACAGAUCAUGAGCUUGCUCCUCUGACGUUAGCGGCGGACGUGUGAGUAACACGUGUAUAACCUACCUAUAAGACUGGUAUAACUUCGGGAAACCGGAGCUAAUACCGGAUAAUAUAUUGAACCGCAUGGUUGAAUAGUGAAAGACGGCUUUGCUGUCACUUAUAGAUGGAUCCGCGCCGCAUUAGCUAGUUGGUACGUUAACGGUUUACCAAGGCAACGAUGCGUAGCCGACCUAAGAGGGUGAUCGGCCACACUGGAACUGAGACACGGUCCAGACUCCUACGGGAGGCAGCAGUAGGGAAUCGUCCGCAAUGGGCGAAAGCCUGACGGAGCAACGCCGCGUGAGUGAUGAAGGUCUUCGGAUCGUAAAACUCUGUUAUUAGGGAAGAACAAAUGUGUAAGUAACUAUGCACGUCUUGACGGUACCUAAUCAGAAAGCCACGGCUAACUACGUG
Molecule: ribosomal RNA, 497 nt
Filed under: uncultured bacterium
Lineage: Bacteria
Description: partial 16S ribosomal RNA
Rfam family: Bacterial small subunit ribosomal RNA
Source: RNAcentral